UAGUCCACGCCGUAAACGAUGGAUACUAGGUGUUCGGUCGAUUGAGACUGAGUGCCCAAGCGAAAGCGAUAAGUAUCCCACCUGGGGAGUACGUCCGCAAGGAUGAAACUCAAAGGAAUUGACGGGGGCCCGCACAAGCGGUGGAGCAUGUGGUUUAAUUCGAUGGUACGCGAGGAACCUUACCUGGGCUAGAAUGCGCGUGACGAUUCCUGAAAGGGAGUUUUCUUCGGACACAAAGCAAGGUGCUGCAUGGUUGUCGUCAGCUCGUGCCGUGAGGUGUUGGGUUAAGUCCCGCAACGAGCGCAACCCCUAUCAUUAGUUGCCAGCACAUUAUGGUGGGGACUCUAAUGAGACUGCCUGCGCAAGCAGUGAGGAAGGUGGGGGAUGACGUCAAAUCAUCAUGGGCCCUUACGCCCAGGGGCUACACACGUGCUACAAUGGACGGUACAGAGGGGUUGCGAGCCUGCGAAGGGCAAGGCUAA
RNAcentral lists this ribosomal RNA (482 nucleotides) under uncultured bacterium. Its description in RNAcentral is "bacterial SSU rRNA". It matches the Rfam family "Bacterial small subunit ribosomal RNA", at positions 791 to 1271 of the family's 1533-position model. The record is from RNAcentral.